UACGGAGGGUGCAAGCGUUAUCCGGAUUCAUUGGGUUUAAAGGGUGCGCAGGCGGACUUUUAAGUCAGUGGUGAAAUCCCGGGGCUCAACCCCGGAACUGCCAUUGAUACUGGAAGUCUUGAAUUUGGUUGAAGUGGGCGGAAUGUAGCAUGUAGCGGUGAAAUGCUUAGAUAUGCUACAGAACACCGAUCGCGAAGGCAGCUCACUAAGCCAAUAUUGACGCUCAGGCACGAAAGCGUGGGGAGCGAACAGG
RNAcentral lists this ribosomal RNA (253 nucleotides) under uncultured bacterium. RNAcentral's name for it is "partial 16S ribosomal RNA". It matches the Rfam family "Bacterial small subunit ribosomal RNA", at positions 524 to 776 of the family's 1533-position model. The record is from RNAcentral.